Molecule: transfer RNA, 76 nt
Filed under: Methylobacterium sp.
Lineage: Bacteria; Pseudomonadati; Pseudomonadota; Alphaproteobacteria; Hyphomicrobiales; Methylobacteriaceae
Also listed under: 12 other names
Description: tRNA-Thr
Rfam family: tRNA
About the family: Transfer RNA (tRNA) molecules are approximately 80 nucleotides in length. Their secondary structure includes four short double-helical elements and three loops (D, anti-codon, and T loops).
Source: RNAcentral
GCCGCAAUAGCUCAGCUGGUAGAGCACGUCAUUCGUAAUGAUGGGGUCGGGGGUUCGAUUCCCUCUUGCGGCACCA